Molecule: ribosomal RNA, 486 nt
Filed under: uncultured bacterium
Lineage: Bacteria
Description: partial 16S ribosomal RNA
Rfam family: Bacterial small subunit ribosomal RNA
Source: RNAcentral
ACUGAACGCUGGCGGCAUGCCUUACACAUGCAAGUCGAACGGCAGCACGGGUGCUUGCACCUGGUGGCGAGUGGCGAACGGGUGAGUAAUACAUCGGAACAUGUCCUGUAGUGGGGGAUAGCCCGGCGAAAGCCGGAUUAAUACCGCAUACGAUCUACGGAUGAAAGCGGGGGACCUUCGGGCCUCGCGCUAUAGGGUUGGCCGAUGGCUGAUUAGCUAGUUGGUGGGGUAAAGGCCUACCAAGGCGACGAUCAGUAGCUGGUCUGAGAGGACGACCAGCCACACUGGGACUGAGACACGGCCCAGACUCCUACGGGAGGCAGCAGUGGGGAAUUUUGGACAAUGGGCGAAAGCCUGAUCCAGCAAUGCCGCGUGUGUGAAGAAGGCCUUCGGGUUGUAAAGCACUUUUGUCCGGAAAGAAAUCCUUGGCCCUAAUACGGUCGGGGGAUGACGGUACCGGAAGAAUAGGCACCGGCUAACUACGUG